Long non-coding RNA from Melospiza melodia melodia, 259 nucleotides. RefSeq lists it as uncharacterized. The transcript has 3 exons. Lineage: Eukaryota; Metazoa; Chordata; Aves; Passeriformes; Passerellidae. The record is from RefSeq and is a predicted model, not a curated record.
UGAACAACGACGGAGCCUGGGCCGAUCCCCCCACUCCUCCAGGCUCAACCCUUCACCCGCUGGGGAGAUGCCAAAGGAUCCACAGAGUGCCUAUGCUGAGGAAAUGUGGCAGAAAUGCUGCACUCUGAGGGGCUUGAGUGCCUUGGAUAGCUGAGUCAGUCAGGCCUGCAAGGAAGGGAGCUCCUUGGCAGACCAGCGCUGCUCCUCGUCUGUCUGCAGGCAGCAGCUCAGGAAGUCACGCAGCAAAGCCGAGAGGAGC